AUGGACCAAUCCAUCCCUUUUUCCCGUGCAUAUGCAUCGGACUCGGAUGACGAUGGUCCUAAUGAAGAAGUUGAUGAGGAGGGGUUCACGCCGAAGGAGGCCCAAGCAUUCAAGAAGGUAUUCGGGCGGGAUCACAAGACACCAUUGUUCAAGGAUCUUAGUCUCGCGGAUGAAGCCGUUGUGGAUGGUGGCAAAUGCAUAUCUCUUGGAGCUAGGCCAAGUUCUCAC
Molecule: ribosomal RNA, 228 nt
Filed under: Triticum aestivum (bread wheat)
Lineage: Eukaryota; Viridiplantae; Streptophyta; Magnoliopsida; Poales; Poaceae
Description: partial small subunit ribosomal RNA
Source: RNAcentral